UAUAUAUGGAAAAAUUUUUAAUUAAAUUGUCAAUCAAUACUUAAAGUAUCAUCAAGUAAUCUUGAAGAAUUCAAUCUUAAAAAAUAAUUUAAAAAACCAAGGCUGCAAUAUGGCCAAAACUUCAGCAAGAAAAAUUGUCGCAGUAGUAGUUCUAUCUGCAGUAUACUUGUUCGGUAUUGCUCAAGCAGCACCAGCAGCUUCUCCAGGUGGUGGUGGUGGUCUUCUAGGACUAGGUAUUUUAGGUAUUUUGUAAAUUAUCUUUCGAUGAUAGCAAAUCCUAUAAAAUAAUAAAUUAUUAGAUAUUUCUUCUGCAAAAUUC
This is a long non-coding RNA of Aphidius gifuensis, 319 nucleotides long. RefSeq lists it as uncharacterized. The record is from RefSeq and is a predicted model, not a curated record. The transcript has 2 exons. Lineage: Eukaryota; Metazoa; Arthropoda; Insecta; Hymenoptera; Braconidae.